GUAGGUGGCGAGCGUUGUCCGGAAUUAUUGGGGCGUAAAAGCGCGCGCAGGCGGUUCUUUAAGUCUGAUGUCGAAAAGCCCACGGCUCAAACCGUGGAGGGGUCAUUGGGAAACUGGGAGAACUUGAGUACAGAAGAGGAAAGCGGAAUUCCACGUGUAGCGGUGAAAUGCGUAGAGAUGUGGAGGAACACCAGUGGCGAAGGCGGCUUUCUGGUCUGUAACUGACGCUGAGGCGCGAAAGCGUGGGGAGCAAACAGGAUUAGAUACCCUGGUAGUCCACGCCGUAAACGAUGAGUGCUAAGUGUUAGGGGGUUUCCGCCCCUUAGUGCUGCAGCUAACGCAUUAAGCACUCCGCCUGGGGAGUACGACCGCAAGGUUG
This 379-nucleotide ribosomal RNA is filed under the name uncultured organism. RNAcentral's name for it is "partial 16S ribosomal RNA". It matches the Rfam family "Bacterial small subunit ribosomal RNA", at positions 527 to 896 of the family's 1533-position model. The record is from RNAcentral.